GACGAACGCUGGCGGCGUGCUUAACACAUGCAAGUCGAACGGAAAGGCCCUGCUUUUGUGGGGUGCUCGAGUGGCGAACGGGUGAGUAACACGUGAGUAACCUGCCCUUGACUUUGGGAUAACUUCAGGAAACUGGGGCUAAUACCGGAUAGGAGCUCCUGCUGCAUGGUGGGGGUUGGAAAGUUUCGGCGGUUGGGGAUGGACUCGCGGCUUACCAGCUUGUUGGUGGGGGAGGGGCUUACCAAGGCUUUGACGGGUAGCCGGCCUGAGAGGGUGACCGGCCACAUUGGGACUGAGAUACGGCCCAGACUCCUACGGGAGGCAGCAGUGGGGAAUAUUGCACAAUGGGCGGAAGCCUGAUGCAGCAACGCCGCGUGCGGGAUGACGGCCUUCGGGUUGUAAACCGCUUUCGCCUGUGACGAAGCGUGAGUGACGGUAAUGGGUAAAGAAGCACCGGCUAACUACGUG
Molecule: ribosomal RNA, 468 nt
Filed under: uncultured bacterium
Lineage: Bacteria
Description: partial 16S ribosomal RNA
Rfam family: Bacterial small subunit ribosomal RNA
Source: RNAcentral